Rana temporaria (common frog) is the source of this 542-nucleotide long non-coding RNA. RefSeq lists it as uncharacterized. The record is from RefSeq and is a predicted model, not a curated record. Lineage: Eukaryota; Metazoa; Chordata; Amphibia; Anura; Ranidae. The transcript has 3 exons.
GUAACAACCCUAAAAAAUAGAGAUAAAAUAAUUUAUCAUUGAUUCAGUUUUAACUGAAGUAUAAUGUGCCUGUGUCAUAAUGUAUAAAAUAUAACCGAAGAAUGAGCUACAGAGGGCAGAGGGCAAAAUAUUAAAGCAUAAUACAGAAUGCAGUUACCGAAAGCACCACAAGAUGGCACUAUCACUUAGAGCAAGUGGCGGGUUCAGACAGGAAGUGAUGUUAGAAAGACCAGGAAGUGAUGCGGAUAAGGACAGGAAGAGAUGGAAAGUAGGAACAGGAAGUGAUGUAAGAAAAAGACAAGGCGUUCUAUAAGGUAAAGUAGGAAGUUCCAGGAGAGAGAAGAACGAGUUGGAGAGGAGACAUCACUGGAUUACACAGAGGAGACCUGACUGGAGAUUGUGCACAGGAUAAAUAAAGAAAACAGCUGCCAGCCCCAUGAUCCAUCUUUAGAAGGACGCAAGGAUCUCUACAAGGACGUCAUGAUGGACAAUCAGCCGCCCCUCACAUCACCGGAUGGAUCCAGUAAUGGGAACCCACCAGA